AAAGUGAUAUUUUCAGAGAAUAUAUGAUUUGCAAUCAUAAGGAGUAGAUUAAAUUCAUUCUACUCACUUUA
Molecule: transfer RNA, 71 nt
Filed under: Strahlaxius plectrorhynchus
Lineage: Eukaryota; Metazoa; Arthropoda; Malacostraca; Decapoda; Strahlaxiidae
Description: tRNA-Ala
Source: RNAcentral